AAGUNUGAUGUGAAAGCCCCCGGCUCAACCGGGGAGGGUCAUUGGAAACUGGGGAACNUGAGUGCAGAAGAGGAGAGUGGAAUUCCACGUGUAGCGGUGAANUGCGUAGAGAUGUGGAGGAACACCAGUGGCGAAGGCGACUCUCUGGUCUGUAACUGACGCUGAGGAGCGAAAGCGUGGGGAGCGAACAGGAUUAGAUACCCUGGUAGUCCACGCCGUAAACGAUGAGUGCUAAGUGUUAGGGGGUUUCCGCCCCUUAGUGCUGCAGCUAACGCAUUAAGCACUCCGCCUGGGGAGUACGGUCGCAAGACUGAAACUCAAAGGAAUUGACGGGGGCCCGCACNAGCGGUGGAGCAUGUGGUUUAAUUNGAAGCAACGCGAAGAACCUUACCAGGUCUUGACAUCCUNUGACAAUCCUAGAGAUAGGACGUCCCCUUCGGGGGCAGAGUGACAGGUGGUGCAUGGUUGUCGUCAGCUCGUGUCGUGAGAUGUUGGGUUAAGUCCCGCAACGAGCGCAACCCUUGAUNUUAGUUGCCAGCAUUCAGUUGGGCACUNUAAGGUGACUGCCGGUGACAAACCGGAGGAAGGUGGGGAUGACGUCAAAUCAUCAUGCCCCUUAUGACCUGGGCUACACACGUGCUACAAUGGACAGAACAAAGGGCAGCGAAACCGCGAGGUUAAGCCAAUCCCACAAAUCUGUUCUCAGUUCGGAUCGCAGUCUGCAACUCGACUGCGUGAAGCNGGAAUCGCUAGUAAUCGCGGAUCAGCAUGCCGCGGUGAAUACGUUCCCGGGCCUUGUACACACCGCCCGUCACACCACGAGAGUUUGUAACACCCGAAGUCGGUGAGGUA
This 852-nucleotide ribosomal RNA is filed under the name Bacillus sp. (in: firmicutes). RNAcentral's name for it is "bacterial SSU rRNA". It matches the Rfam family "Bacterial small subunit ribosomal RNA", at positions 585 to 1437 of the family's 1533-position model. The record is from RNAcentral. Lineage: Bacteria; Bacillati; Bacillota; Bacilli; Caryophanales; Bacillaceae.